Long non-coding RNA from Olea europaea var. sylvestris, 1353 nucleotides. RefSeq lists it as uncharacterized. Lineage: Eukaryota; Viridiplantae; Streptophyta; Magnoliopsida; Lamiales; Oleaceae. The transcript is spliced from 2 exons. The record is from RefSeq and is a predicted model, not a curated record.
AUUAAUGCAUCCCAUUUAUUGGUUGAGUUUGGCAUAUGGACGUAUUUAUUUAUAACAUUUAAAGAAGAAAUUUGAUCAGAUUGAUUUGAUUGGAGAAUUUGUUUUUGAAAUGUCUAGUUUCACCUCCAAAGCUUACGUAUCUUGAAGAAUUUUGUGUUGUCUCCAAAACUAAUUUUUUAAAAGAAUUAAUUUUUAGCAAAUUCCAACUUAUGAAAUUAUGUUCAAUGAGGCAGUAAACGCAGCACCAUUGUCUUAACUAAAUUAUUUGAAGAGAAAGUGAAACGAGAUUUCUUCAGACAGCAAACUAUCUGGCAGUACUAUGUGAGUAAAAUUCUCCCUGAAACUAAUGUGCAUGACUCCAUAUUAUUUUCUUCCCUCCAUCUCGCAUUAUCUGUGUUUAUGUUUUUGGUCAAUGCCAUGCAACUUAAGUAUAGCGAUGGCAAGUCUCAUAAUUAUUUGUUAUACAAAAUGUAAUGAGAAACCCUGUUUUAAGCAUUUUAGUAGUCUUUAAACAUUUCUUAGCUGAUGUUGAAAUAUCGAUAGGGCCCUUACAUUUUAUCGAUACUGAUGUUAACAUUGACAGCUUAUGAUAUUGCGACUUGCCGGUUUCAACUUUCCUUUUCAUACUUUUUCCUCCCUGUAAGAUUUGAACUUUUCAAUUUGGGAUUAAAUUUGACUGCUGUCUAAAUUGGUGAUAAAUUUCAGGUUAAGAAAAACAAAAAGCAGAAACUGAAACAAAGAAAACUACCUCUGCUCGGAAAGCUGUUAAAACCACCGAGAAAUUGGAACAGCGGGUAAUAAAUUAGGCUUCAAUGGGAAUUCUUUUUUCUCUUUCUGUUUGCCACAGUACAAUGUAAAGCUCAAGACAUGGCUAAGAGUAAUAGGGAAAUUAUUGUCUUUCGUUAUUUGUUAAAUUCUUGUUGUAUGAUGAUUUCAAUCCCUACGAGCGAACUGGAGUAUAUUUGUUUUGUAUUUUACAUGUGAUGUCGACAUGAAUCAAUUAUGAUGCUUUGAGACUUCUAAAUGAUGAUAUGGAACAAGGUUCUGGUAUGGCACACAUCGAUUUGAAACUCGAUUCUUGAAGAAAUGACCAUUCACAGAACGAAAACAUUACCACACCUAAAAUGCAAAGAUUUGAAUAGGGCAAUUAUGAUGAAGAAUCUUCAUAAUGAAGAUCACUUGUGGCGACGAUGAUGUUACAUUCGGUCAUCAAAAUGAUGCGAUGUCUUACGGGUUUGAAGAUGAAUAUGACGAAAAUUUUGAUUUCGAGGAUGAUAGGUGGAAAUCGUUGUUUUUGAACAAUGUCAAGUAGUUAAUUAAUUUUUGAGGCAGUAUUUACUACAAUUGGGUAAA